Molecule: long non-coding RNA, 376 nt
Organism: Daphnia carinata
Lineage: Eukaryota; Metazoa; Arthropoda; Branchiopoda; Diplostraca; Daphniidae
Exons: 2
Source: RefSeq, a predicted model, not a curated record
CAACCACCACAGUGGUCCAUAUAAAGUUCAUUUCAAACCACACGCAACGCACAGUUUAGCGAAAGGUUUACCUUCCAUACAUGGAAAUGGCCAGGAGCCGAAAUCCAAGCGGCAAUGCUGACAAGUCACCGACGCCAAUUUCACUGCAGAAAACUACCGACGAUGAUGGAUUUUCUAUUUUAACUUUAAUUCCUCACGUACUUUCUUGGGUGGCUUUUUUCGCAUCCAUAUCCUACCUGUAUUGUAAUGAACUAUUAUAAUAAUUUGUACAGCACGGACUACACGAAAAAUUAAAUAGAGCUGAGAACGAUGGUGAUUUCAAUACCGCAAGCGCUGUACUAAUAAAAUAAGAAAAAUAGAAGAUGAACUUACCUUA